RNAcentral lists this ribosomal RNA (433 nucleotides) under uncultured bacterium. RNAcentral describes it as "partial 16S ribosomal RNA". It matches the Rfam family "Bacterial small subunit ribosomal RNA", at positions 29 to 507 of the family's 1533-position model. The record is from RNAcentral.
AACGAACGCUGGCGGCAGGCUUAACACAUGCAAGUCGAACGCACCUUUCGGGGUGAGUGGCAGACGGGUGAGUAACGCGUGGGAAUCUACCCUUCUCUACGGGAUAGCUCCGGGAAACUGGAAUUAAUACCGUAUACGUCCUGAGGGAGAAAGAUUUAUCGGGGAAGGAUGAGCCCGCGUUGGAUUAGCUAGUUGGUGGGGUAAAGGCCUACCAAGGCGACGAUCCAUAGCUGGUCUAAGAGGAUGAUCAGCCACAUUGGGACUGAGACACGGCCCAAACUCCUACGGGAGGCAGCAGUGGGGAAUAUUGGACAAUGGGCUCAAGCCUGAUCCAGCCAUGCCGCGUGAGUGAUGAAGGCCCUAGGGUUGUAAAGCUCUUUCAGUGGGGACGAUAAUGACGGUACCCACAGAAGAAGCCCCGGCUAACUUCGUG